Molecule: ribosomal RNA, 472 nt
Filed under: uncultured bacterium
Lineage: Bacteria
Also listed under: 1 other name
Description: partial 16S ribosomal RNA
Rfam family: Bacterial small subunit ribosomal RNA
Source: RNAcentral
GACGAACGCUGGCGGCGUGCUUAACACAUGCAAGUCGAACGCUGAAGCUUGGUGCUUGCACUGGGUGGAUGAGUGGCGAACGGGUGAGUAAUACGUGAGUAACCUGCCCUUGACUCUGGGAUAAGCCUGGGAAACUGGGUCUAAUACUGGAUACGACAUGUCACCGCAUGGUGGUGUGUGGAAAGGGUUUUACUGGUUUUGGAUGGGCUCACGGCCUAUCAGCUUGUUGGUGGGGUAAUGGCUCACCAAGGCGACGACGGGUAGCCGGCCUGAGAGGGUGACCGGCCACACUGGGACUGAGACACGGCCCAGACUCCUACGGGAGGCAGCAGUGGGGAAUAUUGCACAAUGGGCGAAAGCCUGAUGCAGCGACGCCGCGUGAGGGAUGACGGCCUUCGGGUUGUAAACCUCUUUCAGCACGGAAGAAGCGAAAGUGACGGUACGUGCAGAAGAAGCGCCGGCUAACUACGUG